Molecule: ribosomal RNA, 586 nt
Filed under: uncultured bacterium
Lineage: Bacteria
Description: partial 16S ribosomal RNA
Rfam family: Bacterial small subunit ribosomal RNA
Source: RNAcentral
UGGGGAAUUUUGGACAAUGGGCGAAAGCCUGAUCCAGCAAUGCCGCGUGUGUGAAGAAGGCCUUCGGGUUGUAAAGCACUUUUGUCCGGAAAGAAAUCCUUGGCUCUAAUACAGUCGGGGGAUGACGGUACCGGAAGAAUAAGCACCGGCUAACUACGUGCCGGCAGCCGCGGUAAUACGUAGGGUGCAAGCGUUAAUCGGAAUUACUGGGCGUAAAGCGUGCGCAGGCGGUUUGCUAAGACCGAUGUGAAAUCCCCGGGCUCAACCUGGGGAACUGCAUUGGUGACUGGCAGGCUAGAGUAUGGCAGAGGGGGGUAGAAUUCCACGUGUAGCAGUGAAAUGCGUAGAGAUGUGGAGGAAUACCGAUGGCGAAGGCAGCCCCCUGGGCCAAUACUGACGCUCAUGCACGAAAGCGUGGGGAGCAAACAGGAUUAGAUACCCUGGUAGUCCACGCCCUAAACGAUGUCAACUAGUUGUUGGGGAUUCAUUUCCUUAGUAACGUAGCUAACGCGUGAAGUUGACCGCCUGGGGAGUACGGUCGCAAGAUUAAAACUUAAAUGAAUUGACGGGGUCAUAGCUGUUUCCU